UGCGUAGGUGGCGCCGUAAGUCGGGUGUGAAAUUUCGGAGCUUAACUCCGAAACUGCAUUCGAUACUGCGGUGCUUGAGGACUGGAGAGGAGACUGGAAUUCAUGGUGUAGCAGUGAAAUGCGUAGAGAUCAUGAGGAAGACCAGUGGCGAAGGCGGGUCUCUGGACAGUUCCUGACACUGAGGCACCAAGGGCCAGGGGAAGGCAAACG
RNAcentral lists this ribosomal RNA (210 nucleotides) under uncultured bacterium. RNAcentral's name for it is "partial 16S ribosomal RNA". It matches the Rfam family "Bacterial small subunit ribosomal RNA", at positions 568 to 774 of the family's 1533-position model. The record is from RNAcentral.